GUGUCAGCAGCCGCGGUAAGACGUAGGGACCGAGCGUUGUCCGGAUUUAUUGGGCGUAAAGCGCGCGCAGGCGGCUUCGAAAGUCGGGUGUGAAAACCAGAGGCUCAACCUCUGGCCUGCAUCCGAAACUUCGAGGCUAGAGGCAGGUAGGGGAGAUCGGAAUUCCUGGUGUAGCGGUGAAAUGCGCAGAUAUCAGGAGGAACACCGGUGGCGAAGGCGGAUCUCUGGGCCUGUCCUGACGCUCAGGCGCGAAAGCUAGGGGAGCAAACAGGAUUAGAUACCCUGGUAGUCCUAGCCGUAAACGUUGGAUGCUAGGUGUGGGCGGACAUUGACCCCGUCUGUGCCGGAGCUAACGCAUUAAGCAUCCCGCCUGGGGAGUACGGCCGCAAGGCUAAA
This 396-nucleotide ribosomal RNA is filed under the name uncultured bacterium. RNAcentral describes it as "bacterial SSU rRNA". It matches the Rfam family "Bacterial small subunit ribosomal RNA", at positions 505 to 898 of the family's 1533-position model. The record is from RNAcentral.